UCGUCUAGCAGGACGACGGAAGAACUGCGGAGGAUCAUUAUCGAAUAAACUUGAACAGGUUGUUGCUGGUCUCCUCUGGGGGAUUAUGUGCACGCUUGUCUCAUCUUUGUUAUUUCUCCAACACUGUGCACCUUUUGUAGACCCUGGAACUUUUAUGGAUUUUCUGAAAAUCCGAGUCAGGAUUGCUGUUGCUGUAAAAAGUCAGCUUUGCCUUGGGUCUAUGUCAUUUUUCACAAACCUCAUAUGUUUAGAAUGUUGGAAAAUAUAAAUUUGAAAUAUACAACUUUCAGCAACGGAUCUCUUGGCUCUCGCAUCGAUGAAGAACGCAGCGAAAUGCGAUAAGUAAUGUGAAUUGCAGAAUUCAGUGAAUCAUCGAAUCUUUGAACGCAUCUUGCGCUCCUUGGUAUUCCGAGGAGCAUGCCUGUUUGAGUGUCAUUUAACUUCUCAACCACAUCAGAUGAUGAUGUUGGCUUGGAUGUGGGGGUUGUUUUUGCAGGCUUUCUGUAGAAGGUCGGCUCCCCUGAAAUGGAUUAGUGGUAUCUGAGGCUACUACUGUGGGUGUGAUAACUAUCUAUGCCUUUGGUAUGCCGCAUGAACAGAUUACACUGCUUCUAACAACACAAAUUUUGAUAAAUUUGACCUCAAAUCAGGUAGGACUACCCGCUGAACUUAAGCAUAUCAAUAAGGCGGAGGAA
RNAcentral lists this ribosomal RNA (695 nucleotides) under uncultured Inocybe. RNAcentral describes it as "eukaryotic LSU rRNA". The stretch from base 282 to 435 matches the Rfam family "5.8S ribosomal RNA". The record is from RNAcentral. Lineage: Eukaryota; Fungi; Basidiomycota; Agaricomycetes; Agaricales; Cortinariaceae.